Molecule: ribosomal RNA, 631 nt
Filed under: Klebsiella pneumoniae
Lineage: Bacteria; Pseudomonadati; Pseudomonadota; Gammaproteobacteria; Enterobacterales; Enterobacteriaceae
Description: bacterial SSU rRNA
Rfam family: Bacterial small subunit ribosomal RNA
Source: RNAcentral
UGCUCUCGGGUGACGAGCGGCGGACGGGUGUAUUAAUGUCUGGGAAACUGCCUGAUGGAGGGGGAUAACUACUGGAAACGGUAGCUAAUACCGCAUAAUGUCGCAAGACCAAAGUGGGGGACCUUCGGGCCUCAUGCCAUCAGAUGUGCCCAGAUGGGAUUAGCUAGUAGGUGGGGUAACGGCUCACCUAGGCGACGAUCCCUAGCUGGUCUGAGAGGAUGACCAGCCACACUGGAACUGAGACACGGUCCAGACUCCUACGGGAGGCAGCAGUGGGGAAUAUUGCACAAUGGGCGCAAGCCUGAUGCAGCCAUGCCGCGUGUGUGAAGAAGGCCUUCGGGUUGUAAAGCACUUUCAGCGGGGAGGAAGGCGAUAAGGUUAAUAACCUUGUCGAUUGACGUUACCCGCAGAAGAAGCACCGGCUAACUCCGUGCCAGCAGCCGCGGUAAUACGGAGGGUGCAAGCGUUAAUCGGAAUUACUGGGCGUAAAGCGCACGCAGGCGGUCUGUCAAGUCGGAUGUGAAAUCCCCGGGCUCAACCUGGGAACUGCAUUCGAAACUGGCAGGCUAGAGUCUUGUAGAGGGGGGUAGAAUUCCAGGUGUAGCGGUGAAAUGCGUAGAGAUCUGGAGGA